This 492-nucleotide ribosomal RNA is filed under the name uncultured bacterium. RNAcentral describes it as "partial 16S ribosomal RNA". It matches the Rfam family "Bacterial small subunit ribosomal RNA", at positions 29 to 507 of the family's 1533-position model. The record is from RNAcentral.
AGUGAACGCUGGCGGUAGGCCUAACACAUGCAAGUCGAACGGCAGCACAGUAAGAGCUUGCUCUUACGGGUGGCGAGUGGCGGACGGGUGAGGAAUACAUCGGAAUCUACUUUUUCGUGGGGGUUAACGUAGGGAAACUUACGCUAAUACCGCAUACGCCCUACGGGUGAAAGCAGGGGAUCUUCGGACCUUGCGCGAUUGAAUGAGCCGAUGUCGUAUUAGCUAGUUGGCGGGGUAAAGGCCCACCAAGGCGACGAUCCGUAGCUGGUCUGAGAGGAUGAUCAGCGACACUGGAACUGAGACAGGGUCCAGACUCCUACGGGAGGCAGCAGUGGGGAAUAUUGGACAAUGGUCGAAAGCAUGAUCCAGCCAGACCGCGUGGGUGAAGGAGGCCUUCGGGUUGUAAAGCCCGUUUUUUGGGAAAGAAAAGCAGCAGGUUAAUACCCCGCUGUUCUGACGGUACCCAAUGAAUAAGCACCGGCUAACUUCGUG